UCCGGUGAACAUAUCUGGAAGGUCACACCCGUUCCCAUCCCGAACACGGUAGUUAAGCUUCCAGAGCCGAUGGUAGUGCCAAAAGCGCGAGAGUAGGUAUCGCCGGAU
This 108-nucleotide ribosomal RNA is filed under the name Betaproteobacteria bacterium. The record is from RNAcentral. Lineage: Bacteria; Pseudomonadati; Pseudomonadota; Betaproteobacteria.